Molecule: long non-coding RNA, 516 nt
Organism: Gallus gallus (chicken)
Lineage: Eukaryota; Metazoa; Chordata; Aves; Galliformes; Phasianidae
Source: Ensembl
AGCUCUUGAGCUUUGUAGAUGAGGAAGAAAGCAAAGCAUUUUUGUUUAGAGAAGAAAUAAUAGAGAGUUCUUUUGUGAUCAGGAGAAAAGUUGUGUCUUAGGGUAUUAUUAUUAUUGUUAACCUUUUCUUCCACUUUACUGAAGAGACAAAGGCUCUCACUACUCUGGAAAGUGCUUUGCCAAUGGAAUGGCUCCAGUUUGUAAGCAUGUUGUGCAUUACUGCUGUCUUUUCUACUGAGAAGAAAAAUAAAUGUUAUACUGAGGAUAUUUGAACAGAAACUGAAAUUUUGAGAAUGAGAGUGAAAGCCAUAACUUGAUAGUGAAAAACACGCUGAUGAAGUGUCAUGUUAAAAACAGACCAGCAUAGGCAGAACCGACUCACCUAAAACAACUCUGAUUCAUCUUCAUAUGAAAUGCAUGCUAUCUUGAGCAAAUUUCUUACCCUUUAAGCAUAUGAAGGCUGGUACGUACCAGUGUUCAUGGAGCAGUGCUUAAUAAUAAUGCUUUCCUUCCAGU